GGCUUCGUGGCUUAAUGGUUACGGCUUCUGCCUAACAAGCAGAAGGUUCAGGGAUCAAAUCCCGGUCGGUACCU
Culex pipiens (northern house mosquito) is the source of this 74-nucleotide non-coding RNA. The record is from Rfam. NCBI's taxonomy places the organism in Eukaryota, Metazoa, Arthropoda, Insecta, Diptera, Culicidae.